This 215-nucleotide ribosomal RNA is filed under the name uncultured bacterium. RNAcentral describes it as "partial 16S ribosomal RNA". It matches the Rfam family "Bacterial small subunit ribosomal RNA", at positions 120 to 334 of the family's 1533-position model. The record is from RNAcentral.
GGUAACGGAAGCGCCGAUGGAGGGGGAUAACUACUGGAAACGGUAGCUAAUACCGCAUAACGUCGCAAGACCAAAGAGGGGGACCUUCGGGCCUCUUGCCAUCGGAUGUGCCCAGAUGGGAUUAGCUAGUAGGUGGGGUAACGGCUCACCUAGGCGACGAUCCCUAGCUGGUCUGAGAGGAUGACCAGCCACACUGGAACUGAGACACGGUCCAG